This 589-nucleotide ribosomal RNA is filed under the name Saccharomycopsis fibuligera. RNAcentral's name for it is "eukaryotic LSU rRNA". It matches the Rfam family "Eukaryotic large subunit ribosomal RNA", at positions 48 to 657 of the family's 3401-position model. Lineage: Eukaryota; Fungi; Ascomycota; Saccharomycetes; Ascoideales; Saccharomycopsidaceae. The record is from RNAcentral.
AAGCGGAGGAAAAGAAACCAACAGGGAUUGCCUUAGUAACGGCGAGUGAAGCGGCAAAAGCUCAAAUUUGAAAGCUAGCACCUUCGGUGUUCGCGUUGUAAUUUGAAGAUAGUUUCCUUGAGUAGUCCUUUAUCUAUGUUCCUUGGAACAGGACGUCAUAGAGGGUGAGAACCCCGUAUGAUUUUGGAUACUACUCUUUGUGGGAUUCUAUCGAAGAGUCGAGUUGUUUGGGAAUGCAGCUCUAAGUGGGUGGUAAAUUCCAUCUAAAGCUAAAUAUUGGCGAGAGACCGAUAGCGAACAAGUACAGUGAUGGAAAGAUGAAAAGAACUCUGAAGAGAGAGUGAAAAAGUACGUGAAAUUGCUGAAAGGGAAGGGCUUGAGGUCAGACUUGGUGUUUAAUGAUUAUCAGUUCUUCUUGGACUGUGCACUCGUUUUUCACCGGGCCAAUAUCAGUUUUAGCGGUAGAGUACCCCUUGAAAUGUGGCUUCCUUCGGGGAGUGUUAUAGUCUUGGGGAGAUCUACUUGCUGGGACUGAGGACUGCGCUUCGGCAAGGAUAUUGGCGUAAUGACCUUAAGCCGCCCGUCUUGA